GACGGGGGAUGCAAGCGUUAUCCGGAAUCACUGGGCGUAAAGCGUCUGUAGGUGGUGAUGUAAGUCAAUGGUGCAAAACUCUGGCUCAACCGGAGGAAAGCCAGUGAAACUGCAUGAGUAGAGUGUGGAAGAGGUAGAAGGAAUUCCCUGAGUAGCGGUGAAAUGCGUAGAUACAGGGAAGAAAACCGGAGGCGAAAGCGUUCUACUGGAACACAACCGACACUGAGAGACGAAAGCUAGGGGAGCGAAUGGG
This 253-nucleotide ribosomal RNA is filed under the name uncultured bacterium. RNAcentral describes it as "partial 16S ribosomal RNA". It matches the Rfam family "Bacterial small subunit ribosomal RNA", at positions 524 to 776 of the family's 1533-position model. The record is from RNAcentral.